CGCCCUUCCUACGGGAGGCAGCAGUGGGGAAUAUUGGACAAUGGGCGAAAGCCUGAUCCAGCAAUGCCGCGUGAGUGAUGAAGGCCUUAGGGUUGUAAAGCUCUUUUACCCGGGAUGAUAAUGACAGUNCCGGNG
This 135-nucleotide ribosomal RNA is filed under the name uncultured bacterium. RNAcentral describes it as "partial 16S ribosomal RNA". It matches the Rfam family "Bacterial small subunit ribosomal RNA", at positions 331 to 483 of the family's 1533-position model. The record is from RNAcentral.